AUUGAACGCUGGCGGCAGGCUUAACACAUGCAAGUCGAACGGUAACAUAAAGGAGCUUGCUUCUUUGAUGACGAGUGGCGGACGGGUGUGUAAUGCACGGGGAUCUCGCUUAUGUAGGGGGAUAACUACGGGAAACUGUAGCUAAUACCGCGUAGAAUCGGGAGAUGAAAGUGCGGGACCUUCGGGCCCCAUGCCCUAGGAUGAGCCCAGGUGGGAUUAGGUAGUUGGUGAGGUAAAGGGUCACCAAGCCGACGAUCUCUAGCUGGUCUGAGAGGAUGACCAGCCACACUGGGACUGAGACACGGCCCAGACUCCUACGGGAGGCAGCAGUGGGGAAUAUUGCGCAAUGGGGGCAACCCUGACGCAGCCAUGCCGCGUGAAUGAAGAAGGCCUUCGGGUUGUAAAGUUCUUUCGGUAGCGAGGAAGACAUUUAGUUUAAUAGACUAGGUGAUUGACGGUAACUACAGAAGAAGCACCGGCUAACUCCGUG
Molecule: ribosomal RNA, 490 nt
Filed under: uncultured bacterium
Lineage: Bacteria
Description: partial 16S ribosomal RNA
Rfam family: Bacterial small subunit ribosomal RNA
Source: RNAcentral